RNAcentral lists this ribosomal RNA (466 nucleotides) under uncultured bacterium. Its description in RNAcentral is "partial 16S ribosomal RNA". It matches the Rfam family "Bacterial small subunit ribosomal RNA", at positions 28 to 523 of the family's 1533-position model. The record is from RNAcentral.
GAUGAACGCUGGCGGCGUGCCUAAUACAUGCAAGUCGAGCGGCAGCACGGUCUUCGGACUGGUGGCGAGCGGCGGACGGCUGAGUAACGCGUAGGAACGUACCCCAAAGUGAGGGAUAACUGCUCGAAAGAGUAGCUAAUACCGCAUGUGAUCUAAGGAUUAAAGCUUCGGCGCUUUGGGAACGGCCUGCGUCCGAUUAGCUAGUUGGUGAGGUAAAAGCUCACCAAGGCGACGAUCGGUAGCUGGUCUGAGAGGAUGAUCAGCCAGACUGGGACUGAGACACGGCCCAGACUCCUACGGGAGGCAGCAGUAGGGAAUAUUGGACAAUGGGCGGAAGCCUGAUCCAGCAACGCCGCGUGAGGGAUGACGGCCUUCGGGUUGUAAACCUCUUUCAGCAGGGACGAAGCGCAAGUGACGGUACCUGCAGAAGAAGCACCGGCCAACUACGUGCCAGCCGCCGCAGUAA